GGAGCGGCGACGGACGGGACGGGCCUCCCCUGCCUACAUGGCACCGUACGCGUAUUGGGGAAAAGAGAGGGAGAGAAAUGGAGCUCGUCCUCCCGCACAUGCCGCCUCCUCAUCUCCCCCGCGCCGCCGCCGCCGCCCCCCGCGCCGCCUACUCGCCCUCAUCUCCUACCCGUCUGGCUCGUCGGAGCAGCGGCCGGCAGAGAGCUGCGGUGGUCCGCACUGGAGAAGCAGCAGCGGCCGACGGCGGCGGACACGAUGGCCGUCACGGGCAGAGCAGCGCGAACCCGGCGCGGCUGCCGGGCACCAUCUGGAGAGCCGGUGGCCGGUGGUGCGCGAUCUGGGCGAUUUGGAGGCGAGGCGACAAAGUUGACUAGGACGUCGACGGAAAUCUUCAUCGUGCCGCUUGGAGAGGUGCUCGUCCGGCUCGUCGACGAUCCCCUCUUCUCGACGGAUCCGCGAUGGAGGUGCUCGAGGAGGAGCUUCUUCUCUGGAUGCCAUGGAGAUCGUCAAGCGCCUGAGAUCACCGGCCCGAGCAAGGUGCCACCGAGCACUGCUCCUAGGUCCUCGCAGCUAAGACACAUACCCUCUACAGUUAGAUUGGUACAAUGAUCUCUGACUUGGUGACUUGUGCUACAUCUGAAUUUUGCAAGUAAUUGAAAAUCUGAUCUCUCCUGUUGUACUGCGAGCUAGAAAGGUGGGUAUCUUAAUUCAGAAUGUUAUUAGAAUCUUAUGGACUGCCAUUUACUUGCACAACAUAUGCAGUCAUCUUAUUUGAUCCUUCACUGUCAUAUCACGUCAGGCUGGGGGAAUUGUAACAGGAAAAAACCUGGGUUGUCUCUCCUGAUUGCAAUGAUUUUAGCCCACAAUUUUCAUUUGAUUGAUGUUCUGAAGUAGCUUACUCAAGUCCAGGUUCUCCAAUGAUGUGCAGAACUCUUGCAGGCACCUUUGUAAUUGCAAAAAUUAAGACAAGCUAUGAAGGGACCUUUUCUUGAUCCCUUCAUAGCUUGUCUUAAGUUUUGUUAUGAAUCUGUUCUUGCACUAAUAUCAUAUCAUCCUAAAUGUGAAACCCAGCUACAUGAACUAAAAUUUCUCAUAUCGAAAGAGUCGAGAAGGGAAGCUACUCAAUAUUAUGUUAGGCACUUUGUCAUGGUUCGUCCUCAGAAGCUUCUAUACAUCGCCAUUGGUAGCUGUUGACUGUUGCAAGGACACGAACCAUAUCACAGUUGCAAGAGAGAAUUCGAUAUUAUCAUCGGGUUUGAAGGAAAGAUGUUGCAUGGCCCUCUUGUUUCAAUUGUGUCCUGGUAGUGAUUUAGAGGGCACUGACAUCAAAGGUAAUGAAUCUCCAUUUUGGUUUUUGGUAUUCUUCUCAGGUAUAUAAUAAAUUGUUCGGUUCCUCCAAUUUUCUUCUUGUUAUUUUUCUGAACACAGUCGCCCCUUCCCCAGUUCUGUAAGGAUGUGCGGUUUCUGUUGAUGACCUCGUGGUUGAUUGCAGCUUGACGGAACACAGUUUCAUCAAUAAAUAUGUCCGUGUUGCUACCCUGAGAGUUAGCUUGUUUGGUAGUUGACUCAUGAUAGUUCUUUUCCUUUUAAACUGUUUUUUGAUCAGUAGUUGAUAAACCAUGUGCAAGAUUGGGAGAUUAAAUAAAGAGCUAGGCUGAGGUUUCACCGCUCAGCCUAUCAGUUUGUGUUUGGCUGACAGAAACAAUAUUGUUUGGUUUAUACAAUGAUUACCUGACAAGUUCAUCUUCCUCUUUGCAAAUAUUACAUAAUAAGUAAUGGGACUGCUAUAUUUAAUUCUUUCAUGGCAAUCAGGCUAGGCACAUACAAGAGCGCACACCUCCGCCUUAGGAGUAAGAGGCGUGUGACAUGUGUUUUAGUUUCUAAUAGAAACACAAAAUAUGUCUAUUUCGCUCGUUAGAUAAUUGUUUUUCAUUGUGUGCGCGCGUUGCACACUCAUGUCAUGACCGUGAAUGGAAAUGCACAAAGCAAAUGCAUUAUGACCCGAUGUUGUAAUUUAUAGCACCUAUUGGUCUGGUAAGAUAUGCGUUGUUGCAAAUACAGAAAUCCAACACAAUAAUGUGCGGGAGAAUAGCGCCUCCUUGCGCAUUCCACCUCAUCGUUUUUUACUGUGCUAGCGAGAGAGAGAAAAACUGAGAGGGUAAAAAGGGGUGGACACUACCUAGCGGGGACGCAAUUGGGCGAGAGGAGGAGGCGCUUCUCCUGCUAGAUCCGUGGCCAUCACGUCGCCAUCGACAUCCACCCUCCUCAACAGAUCGAUCGACCGGACGUCGCCGUGAUGUCUCUCUUUGUUGCGGAUUCAUGUGUGUUGUAUGUUCAAUCCAACCCUUACUGCAGGGCCUAGCGAAGGGAAUGAAGAGGCACACCCUCAGCCACGACUCUGUCCUUCAGCUACAAAAGCUAGAUAGAUUGUAAUCAGUUGCGUGAUUGAAACAACAUUUAGGUCAUCACAAAGGGCUCAAAAUGUUAUUAAGCCAAACCAUUGAUUUUGUGUUAUUACAAUAUUAUGUAUUAGAGAUGUGAUGUGAUUCGCCAUGUCCAGCUCAUCCAUUUGUAUCUAAGUUCAACUGGCUAAAAAAGAAGCUAGAUUUGGUACAAGUGUUUUUUGGGAGAUAUGUCCAUGAUAAUCGUAGUAAUCUUAGUUCUUGGCCUUUCAUUUGGGAAAAAAGCUAGAUCUAUUCAUGAUAAUCGUAGUUCUUACCUUUCAUUAUUUAUCUUUAGGUAUGCAAAGAGGUUGGCUUUGGUACAAGUCUUUUUUGGUAGAUUAGUUACACUGAAAUUCGAUAAACAUUUGCUGAAUAUACAGUAUCACAUGAAUCCUUGUAUUAGCUUGUUUCCAAAUGCUCAGAUUUAUGAGAGGAGGAUUUUAGAUGGUUCAAAUGUCCUGCCUCCUAGCUAUAACAAGGAUUAUACAUGCCUCUUGUUUGGCAGCUACACUCUUAUAAAUGACAGGAUGGAAGGGAAGACAAGGAGGGCACAGGAAACAGUCGACAAAACAUGGUUGAAGUUGUUGUUCUGCACCUCAUCCAAACCAUCUUUAGAUGUAUGUCUUGAGCUGAACCCUCACUUUUCUUGCAACCUUGGUAUAUCAUGCCUCGAUGUCCUUGGUAGUUAUUAAUUUGUUUCUAUAUUAAGUGACUUCGCUGAUAUAACAUGGCAUCUUUAGAAGCUUAUAGGGUCUUCCUUUCUUGUAUUACAUGUCGCAUAACCUUCAUUGAUAGAAAGGUGAUCACACAAUACUUUGUGUUCAACAAUCCAGUUGUUACCUGUGUAUAUCUUGUGUUCUGUUAACUCCAUCAAUCUGAGUUUAUGAAAAUCCAGUUCCCUGUGUAUAUUUGUCAGCAAGUCCACUGUCAUCUAUUUCCUUGUUUAAUAGAUAAUGUUACAUAUUUUUUUGCAAAACUGAGAACAUUAAGUAGAUGACAUGAAAGAUGAAACAUAGCUCUAUGAGAGUUGUUGGCCACUACAUGUACUCCCUUUUUGGUAGUAUUUUCUUUUACCUUCAGAGCUGAAAAGUGAUGUUGUGCUAGUUGUAAGCUGACACAGAAUCAACUUCAGUUUGCUAAAGAAAAUUCUCCUUUUCUUUUUGUUUAAUGCCGAUCUUUAUAAAGCACACGUGAUGAUGUUUAAUCAGUUUGACUUUGACCAUACUUUCAUGUGAUCCCUCUAGGUGUGCUUUUCUUUUCCUCCUUAUCAUUUUAUUAGUAGUUUAGGUUGUAGAUUUUUCCUGUUUUUGACAGUACCUUGGGUGGCUGCCAAAUUUGCACCAUUUUGUAGCAUUUUUGAACCCAUGCUCGUGAAUUUUUUUUAAGUUGGUUUGGUUAUGCACAUUUAGUGUACUGUAAUGCAAACCACAUGUAUGCAUAUUAGUCUGAUAUGACUCAUGCUUGUUGUCCAAGGAGUACUGAGUUUAUUGCAUAUACAGUUUCUUUAUAACAUGUGGCUUUUUGUGUGGUCAUGAACAAAUGUGUGUCUACUUCUUGGAGUCAUCCAUGUGGUUCACUUGUCUCUGUUAUGUUGUUUGUAAUUAAGAUUUGCAAGGGCAUGUGCUAUUUUGCCUCAUGCAUCUCUCUCGCGUCCCUCUCGUCGUCGGCUUUGUGCCUCACGAUUCCCGAUUAGAGAAGAUUGGGAGAAUGUCAUUAUGUCAGUUCAAUUGGAGAAUAGAAUGGUGGUGAUUACUGAUUAGGACAGAAUGUCAUUAUCUCAGUACAAUUAGAGAACAGGUGGAUUGUGCAUGAACCGAUUAGUUGUGGAGUUUUAGGAAACAAAAGAGAUGUCUUUUUGUGCCUGCUUGUGAGUUUUUGUGGUAUGAAAAACAUGUACGAUGAACUUCUUUACUGAAAUAAUAGUUAUAUGUUUCUUUUCUACAUCUAGAAAUGCUCUUACUAUGCACUAGAAGGCGCAUUGAGAAGGCGCAGAUCUACUCGAUGCACGCUUCUGAUGGAUCGGUGCCUUCACCUCUUAUAGUUUGUUCACCACAUGAUAUGCCAAACACAAUUUUUGAUGGAAUCUGGAUGGUGUUGCACCUCGGCUUAGCGAUGAACAAGGCGGUGCGCUCAUGUUGUCUCCCUGGUAUGGCCCCUCUCACUUCUGCAGCAUUUAUCUCAACUUAUAAAUAUCCCGCGUUCUUAAGCUUUUGGCCAUACUCAAUUCUUUUACCUAUUUUCCAUGGAAACAUCCGAUCGGCAUAUCAGGGCUUGUUAAUCUUGCAAUGAGGCGCAGACCAAUGGGCACUACAGCAGUAUAAUGGGAGACAGAGGUCCUGAUAGAGUAUAAGUAGUUCAUUAAUUGAAUAUAUUCAGGGGUGAUAUGCCUUGCAUUAUGUUUGGCGCAUGCAUGUGUGGAACACUGUAUGUCCAGUUGCUGAUGAUAAAAAACCAAGGUAAUUGUAACUAAGCUAGAUGAACUUACUGGCAAAGUAGAUCAUCUGAAAGGAUGGCAACCACACAACCUGAUUUCUGUGCUAAGCAAGCUUUAUCAAACCCUUGAAUGCAAUGUAUGAGAUCUGUCCGGCAUAUAAACAAUGCACUUGCUGCAAUAAAAUAAAUCUCUUAAAUAUUCUUAAAGGAUGUAAGAAGAAGAACCUAAAAUAUCAGUCUUUGUGUUGUAUCCAAGUCAUUGGAUUGGAAAUGGUUAGAAAACUAUCAGAUGAUUUUAAUUGCACACUGUCCAAUAGACGUAACAAGACUAGGUACUUAGGUUGGUCAAUAUAACUCAUUUUGUCAUUCUAUCGACUAUAACUAUUAAUUAUGAUUCAUUUCAAUCAUGUUUAUACACAGCAAGCUUGUGCUGAUAAAAGUCCUAUGUCAGCUGAUGGAGCACUUGCAGGUUCAAGUUUGUUUAAGAUCAUCGUGGAGUCACAUUUGAAGGUUGCUGUUGAUUCUGCAUUUGAGGAUAAUGAUGAUGCUGAAUACUUUCGUGUUUCUGUUUCAAGUAUGUUGAAAUUUUUAAUAAAUAUUUCCUAUUCAGAGCACCCUCCACUUCGUGGCUCCUUCAUUUAUACUAAUGAAGUACUUCUUGGUGCACAAUGUGAUGAGCAAUUGGCCUUGUAUGCUCUGAUUGCACGCGUAGCUGCUGACACCACCAUACCCUUGAGCAAUUGUUUUGUGAGUGAUUUGCAUGGCUAAGUCAGGUCUCCUUCUUAGCUUCAUCUUGUGACUUAUCUUGGUUCAAAAUUACCUAUGUGUCCCUGCUAUAAUAGCCUUCUUUCCAUGAUAAUGAUCCCACUCAUACAUUGGAGAAGAUGUAUUGGCUGUUUUCUUAGCUGAAAACAAUGAGAGAAUCUAUCACUAUGGCAUUUCAAUUAAAUAAAUUAAUGUCUGUACAUCAAGAUUACCAGCCAUGUCCUAAUUUAUUCAGGCGAAGGAGAAACACUGCUUGUAGAUAAUUCAAAGCUUCCUUCUUUGUACUUAUGUUUUCAUUUUUUUAUAAACUAUUUGCAGUUCCAUCUACUUCUCAUAGUUUCUGCAAUUUUCAAAUUUGAAUUGUGUUAUAGGCUUUAGUUCUUGUAACAUAUGGUACUCGAUUGAUCAUCGUGUAUAUUGUGUAAACAUAAAAUGAUGCACUGAAUGCACUAUGCUCUUUCCAAUUGUUAAUUGUGUUUUUCUCUAUCCGCUAAGAUAAAAAUCACAACUCUCAAAGUUUUAACAAUUAGUUAUUUUUGUCACAGAUUUCUGAGGCUUUACAUUAUGGAUUCACCAAUGCAGUUGAAGUAGCUCAACAUCCUGUAGUUACAUUUUUUCAUGGUAGUAAUGUUUGCUUAAUGGUGGCUUAAUAGAGCUAGAUGUUUGCUAGAAUACAUUAAACGCCUCAUUUUAUACCUGGUAAUGUAUGUGUCAUCGCAUGUUCAUACAAAUGUAGUGUGCUAAUGAGUUCA
Long non-coding RNA from Triticum aestivum (bread wheat), 6394 nucleotides. RefSeq lists it as uncharacterized. The record is from RefSeq and is a predicted model, not a curated record. NCBI's taxonomy places the organism in Eukaryota, Viridiplantae, Streptophyta, Magnoliopsida, Poales, Poaceae. The transcript has 4 exons.